This 785-nucleotide long non-coding RNA is filed under the name Mytilus galloprovincialis (Mediterranean mussel). The record is from RNAcentral. Lineage: Eukaryota; Metazoa; Mollusca; Bivalvia; Mytilida; Mytilidae.
AAAUCUAUGAAAUUUUAACACAAGGUUUAUGACCACAAAAGGAAGGUUGGUAUUGAUUUUGGGAGUUUUGGUCCCAACAUUUUAGGAAUUAGGGGCCAAAAAGGGCCCAAAUAAGCAUUUUCUUGGUUUUCGCACUAUAACUUUAGUUUAAGUUAAUAGAAAUCUAUGAAAUUUUGACACAAGGUUUAUGACCACAAAAGGAAGGUUGGGAUUGAUUUUGGGAGUUUUGGUCCCAACAUUUUAGGAAUUAGGGGCCAAAAAGGGCCCAAAUAAGCAUUUUCUUGGUUUUCGCACUAUAACUUUAGUUUAAGUUAAUAGAAAUCUAUGAAAUUUUGACACAAGGUUUAUGACCACAAAAGAACGGUUGGGAUUGAUUUUGGGAGUUUUUGGUUUCAACAGUUUAGGAAUUAGGGGCCAAAAAAGGGCCCAAAUAAGCAUUAUUCUUGGUUUUCGCACAAUAACUUUAGUUUAAGUAAAUAGAAAUCAAUGAAAUUUAAACACAAUGUUAAUGACUACAAAAGGAAGGUUGGUAUUGAUUUUGGGAGUUUAGGUCCCAACAGUUUAGGAAUUAGGGGCCAAAAAGGGACCCAAAUAAGCAUUUUUCUUGGUUUUCGCACCAUAACGUUAGUAUAAGUAAAUAGAAAUCUAUGAAAUUUAAACACAAGGUUUAUGACCAUAAAAGGAAGGUUGGUAUUGAUUUUGGGAGUUUUGGUCCCAACAGAAUAAGGGGCCCAAAGGGUCCAAAAUUAAACUUUGUUUGAUUUCAUCAAAUUGAAUAAUUGGGG